GACGAACGCUGGCGGCGUGCUUAACACAUGCAAGUCGAACGUGAUUUUUAUGGAAUAGCCUUCGGGAUAGGAAAUAGAAUGAAAGUGGCGAACGGGUGAGUAACACGUGAGCAACCUACCUUACACAGGGGGAUAGCCGUUGGAAACGACGAUUAAUACCGCAUGAGACCACAGAACCGCAUGGUAAAGGGGUCAAAGAUUUAUCGGUGUAAGAUGGGCUCGCGUCUGAUUAGCUAGUUGGAAGGGUAAAGGCCUACCAAGGCGACGAUCAGUAGCCGGUCUGAGAGGAUGAACGGCCACAUUGGAACUGAGACACGGUCCAAACUCCUACGGGAGGCAGCAGUGGGGAAUAUUGCACAAUGGGGGAAACCCUGAUGCAGCGACGCCGCGUGAGCGAAGAAGGUUUUCGAAUCGUAAAGCUCUGUCCUAUGAGAAGAUAAUGACGGUAUCAUAGGAGGAAGCCCCGGCUAAAUACGUGCCAGCAGCCGCGGUAAUACGUAUGGGGCGAGCGUUGUCCGGAAUUAUUGGGCGUAAAGGGUACGUAGGCGGUCUAUUAAGUCAGGUGUGAAAGCGUGAGGCUUAACCUCAUUAAGCACUUGAAACUGAUAGACUUGAGUGAAGGAGAGGAAAGUGGAAUUCCUAGUGUAGCGGUGAAAUGCGUAGAUAUUAGGAGGAAUACCGGGGGGCGAAGGCGACUUUCUGGACUUUUACUGACGCUCAGGUACGAGAGCGUGGGGGAGCACACAGGUAUUAUAUACCCUGGUAGUUCCAGAGCCGAAUUCCCUCAUGGAUACCAAGCUCUCCGACACCGUCCCCCCCGGGGGGGGCCAAGAAAAACAAGCUUUUGUUCCCUUUAUAGAUGUUCGUUAAC
Molecule: ribosomal RNA, 871 nt
Filed under: uncultured Fusobacterium sp.
Lineage: Bacteria; Fusobacteriati; Fusobacteriota; Fusobacteriia; Fusobacteriales; Fusobacteriaceae
Description: bacterial SSU rRNA
Rfam family: Bacterial small subunit ribosomal RNA
Source: RNAcentral